RNAcentral lists this ribosomal RNA (465 nucleotides) under Vreelandella stevensii. RNAcentral describes it as "partial 16S ribosomal RNA". It matches the Rfam family "Bacterial small subunit ribosomal RNA", at positions 338 to 795 of the family's 1533-position model. The record is from RNAcentral. Lineage: Bacteria; Pseudomonadati; Pseudomonadota; Gammaproteobacteria; Oceanospirillales; Halomonadaceae.
CCUACGGGUGGCAGCAGUGGGGAAUAUUGGACAAUGGGCGAAAGCCUGAUCCAGCCAUGCCGCGUGUGUGAAGAAGGCCUUCGGGUUGUAAAGCACUUUCAGUGGGGAAGAAAGCCUUGGGGCUAAUACCCUCGAGGAAGGACAUCACCCACAGAAGAAGCACCGGCUAACUCCGUGCCAGCAGCCGCGGUAAUACGGAGGGUGCGAGCGUUAAUCGGAAUUACUGGGCGUAAAGCGCGCGUGGGCGGUCUGAUAAGCCGGUUGUGAAAGCCCCGGGCUCAACCUGGGAACGGCAUCCGGAGGUGCCAGGUGAGGGGGCAGAGGAGGAAGGUAGAAGUCCCGGUGUAGCGGUGAACGGCGGAGGAGUCGGGAGAAAUACCAGGGGGAAGGGCGGCCUUCUGAACUUACCCGGCCGCUGGGGUGCGAAGGGGGGGGUAGAAAACAGGAUUGGACCCCCUGUUAUUC